GAUCAAGGUGCCUGUGAACUGGAAAGAGAAUCCAAGGGGUGGGAUAACGACAUUGAUUGAUAUGCCCCUCAACAGAUAUCUUUCCACAGUGUUUGUAGAACACUAAAACUCAAGAGUCUGGUCAGUGAAGUUUGCAUUGUAAAAAGCGCUACAUAUCAGAUGCUUCCAUGUGAGAAAAAAGGUCUUGUUGAAGUGAUGCCUAAUGAAGCUCUUGCUAAAUAGAAAAUUACUUCUUAUCUAUGUAAACAGUUUAUGUAUUGCACUAGUAUUUUCGUGAAUGUAUUAUUGAAUAUAAUUGUAUUUGAUAUUGAAAUAUAAUUAGAUUGUGUUGGAUAUGAAUAUAAUUUGGUGUUGUGCAA
Molecule: long non-coding RNA, 359 nt
Organism: Asparagus officinalis (garden asparagus)
Lineage: Eukaryota; Viridiplantae; Streptophyta; Magnoliopsida; Asparagales; Asparagaceae
Exons: 3
Source: RefSeq, a predicted model, not a curated record